UACCAGCACCCCGAGUGGUCGGGACGAUUAUUGGGCCUAAAGCAUCCGUAGCCGGUUCUGCAAGUCCCCCGUUAAAUCCAGCUGCUCAACAGAUGGGCCGCGGAGGAUACUACAGAGCUAGGAGGCAGGAGAGGCAAGCGGUACUCAGUGGGUAGGGGUAAAAUCCGUUGAUCCAUUGAAGACCACCAGUGGCGAAGGCGGCUUGCCAGAAUGCGCUCGACGGUGAGGGAUGAAAGCCGGGGGAGCAAACCGG
RNAcentral lists this ribosomal RNA (253 nucleotides) under uncultured bacterium. RNAcentral describes it as "partial 16S ribosomal RNA". It matches the Rfam family "Archaeal small subunit ribosomal RNA", at positions 474 to 727 of the family's 1478-position model. The record is from RNAcentral.